This 960-nucleotide ribosomal RNA is filed under the name Austroparmelina pruinata. RNAcentral describes it as "eukaryotic LSU rRNA". It matches the Rfam family "Eukaryotic large subunit ribosomal RNA", at positions 71 to 936 of the family's 3401-position model. The record is from RNAcentral. Lineage: Eukaryota; Fungi; Ascomycota; Lecanoromycetes; Lecanorales; Parmeliaceae.
GGGAUUGCCUCAGUAACGGCGAGUGAAGCGGCAACAGCUCAAAUUUGAAAUCUGGCCUCUGCGAGGUCCGAGUUGUAAUUUGUAGAGAGUGUUUCGGGGGAGAUCGCGGUCUAAGUCCAUUGGAACAUGGCGUCUGAGAGGGUGAGAGCCCCGUAUGUGACCGUGGAUCGAGCCCAUGUGAAGCCUCUUCGACGAGUCGAGUUGUUUGGGAAUGCAGCUCAAAAUGGGUGGUAAAUUUCAUCUAAAGCUAAAUACUGGCUGGAGACCGAUAGCGCACAAGUAGAGUGAUCGAAAGAUGAAAAGCACUUUGGAAAGAGAGUUAAACAGUACGUGAAAUUGUUGAAAGGGAAGCGCUUGCAAUCAGACCUGCCCGUAGGCGAUCAGCCGCUGUUCUCAGCGGUGCACUCGCCCUACGAUCAGGCCAGCAUCGGUUUCGGCGGUCGGAUAAAGGCCUUGGGAAUGUAUCUCUUCCUUCGGGAGGAGUCUUAUAGCCCUCGGUGCAAUGCGGCCAGCCGGGACCGAGGACCGCGCUUCGGCUAGGAUGCUGGCGCAAUGAUUGUAAGCGACCCGUCUUGAAACACGGACCAAGGAGUCUACCAUCUAUGCAAGUGUUUGGGUGUUAAACCCAUGCGCGGAAUGAAAGUGAACGGAGGUGAGAACCCUUAAGGGCGCAUCAUCGACCGAUCCAGAUGUCUUCGGAUGGAUUUGAGUAUGAGCAUAGCUGGUGGGACCCGGUAAGUCUUUAUUCUUGCACCGCUAUUAUGCGAAUUUGCUAACAGUUUUUUUAGAAAGAUGGUGAACUAUACUUGAAUAGGGUGAAGCCAGAGGAAACUCUGGUGGAGGCUCGCAGCGGUUCUGACGUGCAAAUCGAUCGUCAAAUUUGAGUAUAGGGUAUGUGUUCCGCCCGAACCAACCUGACGAGUCAAUGCUAACAUAUUCUCCCAGGGCGAAAGACUAAUC